Molecule: ribosomal RNA, 500 nt
Filed under: uncultured bacterium
Lineage: Bacteria
Description: partial 16S ribosomal RNA
Rfam family: Bacterial small subunit ribosomal RNA
Source: RNAcentral
AUUGAACGCUGGCGGCAGGCCUAACACAUGCAAGUCGAGCGGAUGACGGGAGCUUGCUCCUUGAUUCAGCGGCGGACGGGUGAGUAAUGCCUAGGAAUCUGCCUGGUAGUGGGGGACAACGUUUCGAAAGGAACGCUAAUACCGCAUACGUCCUACGGGAGAAAGCAGGGGACCUUCGGGCCUUGCGCUAUCAGAUGAGCCUAGGUCGGAUUAGCUAGUUGGUGGGGUAAUGGCUCACCAAGGCGACGAUCCGUAACUGGUCUGGGAGGAUGAUCAGUCACACUGGAACCGAGACACGGUCCAGACUCCUACGGGAGGCAGCAGUGGGGAAUAUUGGACAAUGGGCGAAAGCCUGAUCCAGCCAUGCCGCGUGUGUGAAGAAGGUCUUCGGAUUGUAAAGCACUUUAAGUUGGGAGGAAGGGCAGUAAGCUAAUAUCUUGCUGUUUUGACGUUACCGACAGAAUAAGCACCGGCUAACUCUGUGCCAGCCGCCGCCGUAA